RNAcentral lists this ribosomal RNA (660 nucleotides) under Schinziella tetragona. RNAcentral's name for it is "eukaryotic LSU rRNA". The stretch from base 260 to 415 matches the Rfam family "5.8S ribosomal RNA". Lineage: Eukaryota; Viridiplantae; Streptophyta; Magnoliopsida; Gentianales; Gentianaceae. The record is from RNAcentral.
GUAACAAGGUUUCCGUAGGUGAACCUGCGGAAGGAUCAUUGUCGAAUCCUGCAUAGCAGACCCUUCGCGAACACGUAUUAUUCAUAUCAAGGCCGCCCUAGCGUGGGAGACCGCGUUUUGACGGCCGGUCGUCGCGUACGAUUCACAACAACCGGGCGCCGAGAAGCGCCAAGGAAAACUCAACAAGGAACGUCCGCCCUCUGCGCGUCCCGUACGCGGCGAUGGCGGGAGGAUCGCGGAUGCCCAACGAAACAAAAACGACUCUCGGCAACGGAUAUCUCGGCUCUCGCAUCGAUGAAGAACGUAGCGAACUGCGAUACUUGGUGUGAAUUGCAGAAUCCCGUGAACCAUCGAGUCUUUGAACGCAAGUUGCGCCCGAAGCCUGUUGGCCGAGGGCACGUCUGCCUGGGCGUCACGCAUUGCGUCGCCCCAUCCCACCUCGGAUGGGGCGGAGAAUGGCCUCCCGUGCCCGUACGCGGCUGGCCUAAAGACGAGUCCCUCACGACAGACGCGACGGCUGGUGGUGGUUGACAAACUCAACUGGGCGAAGCCGUCCGUGAUCUGUCGCGUUCGGAGACUGUCCGACCCUACGGUACAAAGCGUGCCACGACCGCGACCCCAGGUCAGGCGGGACUACCCGCUGAGUUUAAGCAUAUCAAU